UGCUCAGUAACACGUGGAUAACCUACCCUUAGGACCGGGAUAACCCUGGGAAACUGGGGCUAAUACUGGAUAGGCAAUUAUUCCUGUAAUGGUUUUUUGUUUAAAUGUUUUUUCGCCUAAGGAUGAGUCUGCGGCCGAUUAGGUAGUUGGUUAGGUAAUGGCUUACCAAGCCGUUGAUCGGUACGGGUUGUGAGAGCAAGAGCCCGGAGAUGGAACCUGAGACAAGGUUCCAGGCCCUACGGGGCGCAGCAGGCGCGAAACCUCCGCAAUGUGAGAAAUCGCGACGGGGGGACCCCAAGUGCCAUUCUUAACGGGAUGGCUUUUCAUCAGUGUAAAGAGCUUUUGGAAUAAGGGCUGGGUAAGACGGGUGCCAGCCGCCGCGGUAAUACCUGCAGCCCAAGUGGUGGUCGAUUUUAUUGAGUCUAAAACGUUCGUAGCCGGUUUGGUAAAUCUUUGGGUAAAUCGGGAGGCUCAACUUUCCGACUUCCGAAGAGACUGUCAAACUUGGGACCGGGAGAGGCUAGAGGUACUUCUGGGGUAGGGGUAAAAUCCUGUAAUCCUAGAAGGACCGCCGGUGGCGAAGGCGUCUAGCUAGAACGGAUCCGACGGUGAGGGACGAAGCCCUGGGUCGCAAACGGGAUUAGAUACCCCGGUAGUCCAGGGUGUAAACGCUGCCGACCUGGUGUUGGAGGCCCUUCGGGGGCAUUCAGUGCCGGAGAGAAGUUGUUAAGUCGACUACUUGGGGAGUACGUCCGCAAGGAUGAAACUUAAAGGAAUUGGCGGGGGAGCACCGCAACGGGAGGAGCGUGCGGUUUAAUUGGAUUCAACACCGGAAAACUCACCAAGGGCGACUAUCACAUGAAAGCCAGGCUAACGACCUUGCUUGAUUCUUAGAGGGGUGGUGCAUGGCCGUCGUCAGUUCGUACCGUAAGGCGUUCUCUUAAGUGAGAUAACGAACGAGACCCUCAUCUAUAAUUGCUACUUCACCCUCCGGGGUGGAGGCACAUUAUCGAGACCGCUGGCGCUAAGUCAGAGGAAGGAGAGGUCAACGGUAGGUCAGUAUGCCCCGAAUCUCUUGGGCUACACGCGCGCUACAAAGGGCGGGACAAUGGGCUACGACGCCGAAAGGCGAAGUCAAUCUCGAAACCCGUCCGUAGUUCGGAUUGAGGCUUGUAACUCAGCCUCAUGAAGCUGGAUUCCGUAGUAAUCGCGAAUCAAAAACUCGCGGUGAAUACGUCCCUGCUCCUUGCACACACCGAAU
This 1261-nucleotide ribosomal RNA is filed under the name uncultured archaeon. RNAcentral describes it as "partial 16S ribosomal RNA". It matches the Rfam family "Archaeal small subunit ribosomal RNA", at positions 87 to 1351 of the family's 1478-position model. The record is from RNAcentral.